UCAACCUGGGGCCUGCCGUUGAAACUGGGGAUCUGGAGUACGGUCGCCGCCGGAGGAAUGUGCGGUGUAGCGGUGAAAUGCAUAGAUAUCGCACAGAACACCGAUUGCGGAGGCAUCUGGCGAGGCCGAAACUGACGCUGAGGCACGAAAGCGUGGGGAUCGAACAGGAUUAGAUACCCUAGUAGUCCACGCCGUAAACGAUGAGUGCUAAGUGUUGGGGGUCAGACCUCAGUGCUGCAGUUAACGCAAUAAGCACUCCGCCUGAGUAGUACGUUCGCAAGAAUGAAACUCAAAGGAAUUGACGGGGGCCCGCACAAGCGGUGGAGCAUGUGGUUUAAUUCGAAGCAACGCGAAGAACCUUACCAGGUCUUGACAUGGAGAUAAAGGCUCUGGAGACAGAGAGAUAGGUAUAUCUCACACAGGUGGUGCAUGGUUGUCGUCAGCUCGUGUCGUGAGGUGUCGGCUUAAGUGCCAUAACGAGCGCAACCCUUGCCGUCAGUUACCAUCAAGUAGUGUUGGGGACUCUGGCGGGACUGCCGCCGCAAGGUGCGAGGAAGGGGGGGAUGACGUCAAAUCAGCACGGCCCUUACGUCCGGGGCGACACACGUGUUACAAUGGUGGGUACAGAGGGAAGCUAUAUAGUGAUAUUGUGCGGAUCUCGAAAACCCAUCCCAGUUCGGAUUGGAGUCUGCAACCCGACUCCACGAAGCUGGAUUCGCUAGUAAUCGCGCAUCAGCCAUGGCGCGGUGAAUACGUUCCCGGGCCUUGUACACACCGCCCGUCAAGCCAUGGGAGUCGGGAGUGCCUGAAGUCCGCGACCGUAAGGAGCGGCCAAGGGCAAGACCGGUGACUGGGGCUAAGUCGUAACAAGGUAACC
Molecule: ribosomal RNA, 877 nt
Filed under: uncultured bacterium
Lineage: Bacteria
Description: bacterial SSU rRNA
Rfam family: Bacterial small subunit ribosomal RNA
Source: RNAcentral